RNAcentral lists this long non-coding RNA (1748 nucleotides) under Olea europaea (common olive). RNAcentral describes it as "long non-coding RNA (OEUR_LNC007269)". The record is from RNAcentral. Lineage: Eukaryota; Viridiplantae; Streptophyta; Magnoliopsida; Lamiales; Oleaceae.
GAUGCAAAUUGAUUCUUCCGAUUAUGCCGCCACAAAGAUCAUUUUUUCUUGUUUUCAUCGACUUUCCUGUCUGUAUAAAAGCUGCUUGUAACGAUAAAAGACGAGACAUAAUAAAUCCAAAAGAUGAAAAAGGUUAUAAAUACACACGAAAGUGGAUUAUGUUCCUAGAAGGCCAAACAUAUAUAAGCAGAAAGUGCUCAAAGGGAAAAUUGGAGAAGGAAACAAGCAAACAGCAUAAAUGGAGCAAUUAAAUAUGGCAUUGACUAUGAUAAAGAGUGAUGAGAACACUAGAAGGCGUAAUGUACGCAUUAUGGACAGUGAUCUAUCACCUUCACCGAGAUGUAUUAAGAGUAGAAGACGUGACACAGCUGCUGUUGCACUUAGAUGUGAAGGUCAACAGAUCAAACAAGAAGUCGGCCCAACUGCUCCAACAACAGUGAAAAGAAGUUCAAGAUUCCGAGGUGUAAGCAGGCAUAAAUUGACGGGUCGAUAUGAAGCACACUUGUGGGAUAAACUCUCAUGGAAUGCAACUCAGAAGAAAAAGGGAAAGCAAGGUAACUUAACUCAUUCGCCACUAUUUUCAGCUAGAUUUCUACCCAAUGGUGGUGCCUGACAUGAAAUCUUCUGUUUUCUUCCACUGAAUGUACUCUGGGCUGCAAAAUUCAAAAUAAACAGUCUAUCUUGGUGAGUAUUAUUUAGCUAACGAAGUUUUUAAUCUUGUAUAUGUAUGCAUGAAGAAUGAAAGUAAGACAAAUUAAGACUCGGACCUUGAUUUAUUAAACUUUCUCAGGGGCAUAUGAUGAUGAGGAAGCUGCAGCUAGAGCAUAUGAUUUGGCUGCACUCAAGUAUUGGGGGACAUCAACUUUUACCAAUUUUCCAGUAUGAUUAUAAACUGUGAUAUGCUUCUACCAACUUUAUUCAUGCCAAAUACAAGCUUCAGACAAAUGAAUUCCCUGAUAUUUUCUGCAGAUAUCUGAUUAUGAGAAGGAAAUUGAAAUUAUGCAGAAUGUCACAAAAGAAGAGUACCUAGCCUCACUAAGAAGGUAUCAUUUCACUAUCUUAUGUGAGAAAAAUUAAGGUUUUUGACCAACGAAUGUAUCUAAACUAUCUAAACUUAUUUACUGCAGAAAAAGUAGUCGCUUUUCAAGAGGAGUAUCUAACUAUAUAAACUUAUUUACUGCAGAAAAAGUAGUGGCUUUUCAAGAGGAGUAUCGAAGUACAGAGGAGUUGCCAGGUAUAUUAUGAGAUCAUUAUUAUAUAUCAAUUUCUUUUUUGAAUACUUUUGGGGAUUGUUCUAAACGCAUCAAUGACAAUAAAUGCAGACACCAUCACAAUGGAAGGUGGGAAGCUAGGAUAGGAAGAGUUUUUGGAAAUAAGUACCUCUACCUUGGCACUUACAGUUAGUCACCUCAAAAAUAAUACCCCAGAGAUAUUCGUAGUAAAACAGAGAGAAAAUAUUUAUAAUUCCAUGUCUAUGUAUUUUUAAGUUGUAUUUUUGACUACAGGUACACAAGAAGAGGCUGCUCGUGCAUAUGAUAUAGCUGCAAUUGAGUACAGGGGGAUAAAUGCUGUUACUAAUUUUGACUUGAGUACCUACAUCAGAUGGUUGAGGCCAGGAGCAAAUAAUUCAGUUUCAGCUCAGGAACCAAAUUUUAGCCAAGAGUCGCAAGCAUUAUUACCCCCUCUUUGUUCAUGUGAAAAAUCCUUGUCCCCUUGCUCGACAACUAGAGCCUUCAAUGUAGAUGACC